CUUUACCCAGAUAUUGUCCCGUCCUAGAUAUUCGGCAUGAGAGAGAAUGGUUUAUACCGCAACGUAAAGCUAGACCUGGGGUUGUUCGUCGCCUAAUAAGAUGAAAACUCUCUUU
RNAcentral lists this non-coding RNA (115 nucleotides) under Veillonella seminalis ACS-216-V-Col6b. RNAcentral describes it as "EGFOA RNA". It matches the Rfam family "EGFOA RNA". Lineage: Bacteria; Bacillati; Bacillota; Negativicutes; Veillonellales; Veillonellaceae. The record is from Rfam by way of RNAcentral.